UUCGCAAUGCCCGAAAGGGUGACGAAGCGACGCCGCGUGCGGGAAGAAGGCCUUCGGGUUGUAAACCGCUGUCGGGAGUUAAGAAAUGUAAGGAUGUUAAUAGCAUCUUUGCUUGACUAAGGCUCCGGAGGAAGCCACGGCUAACUCUGUGCCAGCAGCCGCGGUAAUACAGAGGCGGCAAGCGUUGUUCGGAAUUAUUGGGCGUAAAGAGCACGUAGGCGGCUAUGUAAGUCGGUUGUGAAAGCCUUCCGCUCAACGGGAGAACAGCAUCCGAUACUGCAUGGCUUGAGUGCGGGAGGGGAGAGUGGAACUUCUGGUGGAGCGGUGAAAUGCGUAGAUAUCAGAAGGAACGCCGGCGGCGAAAGCGGCUCUCUGGCCCGUAACUGACGCUGAGUGUGCGAAAGCUAGGGGAGCAAACGGGAUUAGAUACCCCGGUAGUCCUAGCCGUAAACGAUGGGCACUAAGUAGAGGGGUUUU
Molecule: ribosomal RNA, 477 nt
Filed under: Candidatus Brocadia fulgida
Lineage: Bacteria; Pseudomonadati; Planctomycetota; Candidatus Brocadiia; Candidatus Brocadiales; Candidatus Brocadiaceae
Also listed under: 1 other name
Description: bacterial SSU rRNA
Rfam family: Bacterial small subunit ribosomal RNA
Source: RNAcentral